GUUUAUAUAGUUUAAUUAAAAUUUUGAUUUGUGAGUUCAAAGAUACUUUAUUGUUAUGAACA
Molecule: transfer RNA, 62 nt
Filed under: Cassida circumdata
Lineage: Eukaryota; Metazoa; Arthropoda; Insecta; Coleoptera; Chrysomelidae
Description: tRNA-His
Source: RNAcentral